GCUUAGAAGCAGCCACUCAUUUAAAGAGUGCGUAAUAGCUCACUGGUCGAGUGAUCCUGCGCCGAAAAUUUCCGGGGCUAAAACGUACUACCGAAGCUACGGCAUCAUUUAUGAUGGGUAGGGGAGCUUCGUAUGCAGGCUGAAGCAUGACCGUAAGGACAUGUGGACAGUAUACGAGUGAGAAUGUUGGCAUGAGUAGCGAGACGUGGGUGAGAAUCCCACGGGCCGUAAACCCAAGGUUUCCAGGGGAAGGUUCGUCCGCCCUGGGUUAGUCGGGACCUAAGCCGAGGCCGAAAGGCGUAGGUGAUGGACAACAGGUUGAUAUUCCUGUACCGCCAAUAAGCGUUUGAGAGAUGGAGUGACACAGUAGGAUAAGCUAACCGUACUGUUGGUUAUGUACGGCUAAGCAUUGAGGCAGUCUAAAUAGGCAAAUCCGUUUAGACAAUGCUAGGAUGUGAUGGGGAAGCCCUUCGGGGCGAAGUAGCUGAUUUCACACUGUCAAGAAAAGCUUCUAUCGAGUUUAAAGGCGCCCGUACCGUAAACCGACACAGGUGGGUGAGGAGAGUAUCCUAAGGCCAGCGAGAGAACUAUUGUUAAGGAACUCGGCAAAAUGACCCCGUAACUUAGGGAGAAGGGGUGCCUGUCUAUGACAGGCCGCAGAGAAUAGGCCCAAGCGACUGUUUACCAAAAACACAGGUUUCUGCUAAGUCGCAAGACGAUGUAUAGGAGCUGACGCCUGCCCGGUGCUGGAAGGUUAAGGGGAUCUGUUAGAGCAAUCGAAGCAGUGAACUUAAGCCCCAGUAAACGGCGGCCGUAACUAUAACGGUCCUAAGGUAGCGAAAUUCCUUGUCGGGUAAGUUCCGACCCGCACGAAAGGCGUAACGAUUUGGGCACUGUCUCAACAAUAGACUCGGUGAAAUUGUAAUCCCGGUGAAGAUGCCGGGUACCUGCGACAGGACGGAAAGACCCCAUGGAGCUUUACUGUAGCUUGACGUUGGGUCUUGGUACUACAUGUACAGGAUAGGUGGGAGACUAUGAAGCAUGGACGCCAGUCUGUGUGGAGUCAUCCUUGGGAUACCACCCUUGUAGUACUGGGAUCCUAACCAUAGGCCUUGAAUCAGGUCUUGGAACACCGUCAGGUGGGCAGUUUGACUGGGGCGGUCGCCUCCUAAAAAGUAACGGAGGCGCUCAAAGGUUUCCUCAGCACGGUCGGAAAUCGUGCGAAGAGUGUAAAGGCAAAAGGAAGCUUGAUUGCAAGACAUACAGGUCGAGCAAGGACGAAAGUCGGACUUAGUGAUCCGGUGGUUCCGCAUGGAAGGGCCAUCGCUCAACGGAUAAAAGCUACCCUGGGGAUAACAGGCUUAUCUCCCCCAAGAGUCCACAUCGACGGGGAGGUUUGGCACCUCGAUGUCGGCUCAUCACAUCCUGGGGCUGUAGUAGGUCCCAAGGGUUGGGCUGUUCGCCCAUUAAAGUGGUACGCGAGCUGGGUUCAGAACGUCGUGAGACAGUUCGGUCCCUAUCCGUCGCAGGCGUAGGAAAUUUGAGAAGACCUGUCCUUAGUACGAGAGGACCGGGAUGGACGUACCUCUGGUGUACCAGUUGUUCUGCCAAGGGCAUGGCUGGGUAGCUAUGUACGGAAUGGAUAAGCGCUGAAAGCAUCUAAGCGCGAAGCCAACUUCAAGAUAAGAUUUCCCACCGUAAGGGUAAGACCCCAGGAAGACUACCUGGUUGA
This 1732-nucleotide ribosomal RNA is filed under the name human gut metagenome. RNAcentral's name for it is "bacterial LSU rRNA". It matches the Rfam family "Bacterial large subunit ribosomal RNA", at positions 1104 to 2856 of the family's 2925-position model. The record is from RNAcentral.